This 206-nucleotide unclassified non-coding RNA is filed under the name Hevea brasiliensis (rubber tree). The record is from RNAcentral. Lineage: Eukaryota; Viridiplantae; Streptophyta; Magnoliopsida; Malpighiales; Euphorbiaceae.
GAAACAGUUCCCGACCACUCAUGCGAUCAUUUUUCGCCCUCUCGGCUCUCAUUGCAGCAAGUCCAGUUUCUUUCUCUUCCAUCUUUUUCAUCUUCCAUUGCAUGAAGAGAUCGGUAGUCAUAGGAGUUGUGGUAGCAACUUUGGCACGCUGGCUUUCAAUCUCUUCUUCAAUGGAUAACUUUUCAGACUCUUCCUCCAGCAAAGCU